AGUCGACGGAUAUCUUCGGAUAUGAGUGGCGAACGGGUGAGUAACACGUAGGGAACCUGCCUGCAUGAGCGGGAGAACUUCUGGAAACGGAAGCUGAUACCGGAUGAGCAAAGAGGAGGCAUCUUCUUUUUGGAAAAGGGGACAAGAGUCCCGCAUGCAGAUGGACCUGCGGUGCAUUAGCUGGUUGGAGAGGUAACGGCUCACCAAGGCGACGAUGCAUAGCCGGCCUGAGAGGGCGGACGGCCACACUGGGACUGAGACACGGCCCAGACUCCUGCGGGAGGCAGCAGUAGGGAAUUUUCGUCAAUGGGGGGAACCCUGAACGAGCAAUGCCGCGUGAGCGAGGAAGGUCUUCGGAUCGUAAAGCUCUGUUGCCGGGGACAAAAGGCAGAAAGAGUGGAAAGCUUUCUGAGUGAUGGUACCCGGCGAGGAAGUCACGGCUAACUACGUGCCAGCAGCCGCGGUAAUACGUAGGUGGCGAGCGUUAUCUGGAAUGAUUGGGCGUAAAGGGUGCGCAGGCGGCCGGGCAAGUCCGCAGUAAAAACUGGAGGCUCAACCUUCAGGGGCUGCGGAAACUGUCCGGCUGGAGAGCAGGAGAGGACGGUGGAACUCCAUGUGUAGCGGUAAAAUGCGUAGAUAUAUGGAAGAACACCGGUGGCGAAGGCGGCCGUCUGGCCUGCAUCUGACGCUGAGGCACGAAAGCGUGGGGAGCAAAUAGGAUUAGAUACCCUAGUAGUCCACGCUGUAAACGAUGAGGACCAAGUGUUGGAGGUAAAACUUCAGUGCUGCAGUCAACGCAGUGAGUCCUCCGCCUGGGGAGUAUGCACGCAAGUGUGAAACUCAAAGGAAUUGACGGGGGCCCGCACAAGCGGUGGAGUAUGUGGUUUAAUU
This 891-nucleotide ribosomal RNA is filed under the name uncultured bacterium. RNAcentral's name for it is "bacterial SSU rRNA". It matches the Rfam family "Bacterial small subunit ribosomal RNA", at positions 60 to 951 of the family's 1533-position model. The record is from RNAcentral.